UCGAUUCCCAAAAGUGUAAUGUAAAACCUUAAAUAGUGUAAUACGUUGAUCAACUUAGAUUACGAAACCUUAUUACGAAAAGAAAACAAAACUAUUAAAGAAAUAGAAAUCAUAAGUUACGAGGACAUGAAAAGUUGUGACCCGCUUGCUCCGCCGAGUCCGAGGGAGACUCCCACGUGAUUCCCUCGUGGACCGCACGUUCGCUACCUUAAUCCAAGGUCUUAAAUAAUCAUUUUCAUAAUACUGUAUACUAUGUAUCAAUGUAAUUUAGUUAAUUUAUCUCAAAAAUUGACACGAUAGCCAAUUGUGUUGUUACUCAAAGUAUUUGCCAUCAUCAAAUUUCUU
This is a long non-coding RNA of Arabidopsis thaliana (thale cress), 345 nucleotides long. RefSeq annotates it as other RNA. The transcript has a single exon. NCBI's taxonomy places the organism in Eukaryota, Viridiplantae, Streptophyta, Magnoliopsida, Brassicales, Brassicaceae. The record is from RefSeq.